Molecule: ribosomal RNA, 234 nt
Filed under: uncultured bacterium
Lineage: Bacteria
Description: partial 16S ribosomal RNA
Rfam family: Bacterial small subunit ribosomal RNA
Source: RNAcentral
UGAGUAACCUGCCCUUAACUCUGGGAUAAGCCUGGGAAACUGGGUCUAAUACCGGAUAUGACUCCUCAUCGCAUGGUGGGGUGUGGAAAGCUUUAUUGUGGUUUUGGAUGGACUCGCGGCCUAUCAGCUUGUUGGUGAGGUAAUGGCUCACCAAGGCGACGACGGGUAGCCGGCCUGAGAGGGUGACCGGCCACACUGGGACCGAGACACGGUCCAGACUCCUACGGGAGGCAG